RNAcentral lists this small RNA (1301 nucleotides) under Pongo abelii (Sumatran orangutan). RNAcentral describes it as "processed transcript". Lineage: Eukaryota; Metazoa; Chordata; Mammalia; Primates; Hominidae. The record is from RNAcentral.
CGAGAGCACCCGGAGCAGUGCGCGCGGGGGCCCCCAGAGACGGCGGCGGUGGCGCGGGCAGAGCAAGGACGCGGCGGACCCCACUCGCACAGCAGCGCACUCGGUGCCCCGCGCAGGGUCGCGAUGCUGCCCGGUUUGGCACUGCUCCUGCUGGCCGCCUGGACGGCUCGGGCGCUGGAGGUACCCACUGAUGGCAAUGCUGGCCUGCUGGCUGAACCCCAGAUUGCCAUGUUCUGUGGCAGACUGAACAUGCACAUGAAUGUCCAGAAUGGGAAGUGGGAUUCAGAUCCAUCAGGGACCAAAACCUGUAUUGAUACCAAGGAAGGCAUCCUGCAGUAUUGCCAAGAAGUCUACCCUGAACUGCAGAUCACCAAUGUGGUAGAAGCCAACCAACCAGUGACCAUCCAGAACUGGUGCAAGCGGGGCCGCAAGCAGUGCAAGACCCAUCCCCACUUUGUGAUUCCCUACCGCUGCUUAGUUGGUGAAUUUGUAAGCGAUGCCCUUCUCGUUCCUGACAAGUGCAAAUUCUUGCACCAGGAGAGGAUGGAUGUUUGUGAAACUCAUCUUCACUGGCACACCGUCGCCAAAGAGACGUGCAGUGAGAAGAGUACCAACUUGCAUGACUACGGCAUGUUGCUGCCCUGCGGAAUUGACAAGUUCCGAGGGGUAGAGUUUGUGUGUUGCCCACUGGCUGAGGAAAGUGACAAUGUGGAUUCUGCUGACGCGGAGGAGGAUGACUCGGAUGUCUGGUGGGGCGGAGCAGACACAGACUAUGCAGAUGGGAGUGAAGACAAAGUAGUAGAAGUAGCAGAGGAGGAAGAAGUGGCUGAGGUGGAAGAAGAAGAAGCUGAUGAUGACGAGGAUGAUGAGGAUGGUGACGAGGUAGAGGAAGAGGCUGAGGAACCCUACGAAGAAGCCACAGAGAGAACCACCAGCAUCGCCACCACCACCACCACCACCACAGAGUCUGUGGAAGAGGUGGUUCGAGAGAAGCGGUAUAAGGAAGUACAUUCUGGCCGAGCACGAUGGCUCAUGCUGUAAUCCCAGCACUUUGGGAGGCCUAGGUGGGUGCAUCACCUGAGGUCAGGAGUUUGAGACCAGCCUGGCCAACAUGGCAAAACCCCUCGCUACUAAAAAUACAAAAAUUAGCCGGGUGUGGUGGCACACACCUGUGGUCCCAGCUACUCGGGAGGCUGAAGCGGGAGAAUCUCUUGAACCCGGGAAGCGGAGGUUGCAGUGAGCCAAGUUCGCGCUAUUGCACUCCAGCCUGGGUGACAGAGCGAGACUCGUCUCAUUAAAAA